Molecule: unclassified non-coding RNA, 138 nt
Filed under: soil metagenome
Description: partial internal transcribed spacer 1
Source: RNAcentral
UCAAAACAGCGGACUUCGGUCCUUGCUGCACCCUUGUCUUUUGCGCACCGUAUUGUUUCCUCGGCGGGCUUGCCUGCCGGUUGGACAUUAUCAAAACCUUUUGUAGUUGCAAUCAGCGUCAGAAAACAAUAAUUAUUA